Molecule: ribosomal RNA, 328 nt
Filed under: uncultured bacterium
Lineage: Bacteria
Description: bacterial SSU rRNA
Rfam family: Bacterial small subunit ribosomal RNA
Source: RNAcentral
GACGAACGCUGGCGGCGUGGAUUAGGCAUGCAAGUCGAGCGGCAAGGCACCUUCGGGUGCCCUAGAGCGGCGAACGGGUGAGUAACACGUGAACAAUCUGCCCUUACGUUCCGGAUAAUUGGUCGAAAGACCUUGUAAUACGGGGGGAGGAUCGGUCUUUGGCAUCUUAGACCGAGGGAAGUUACAAGUUUACUUGUGACGCGCAAGGAGGAGUUCGCGGAUUAUCAGCUAGUUGGUGAGGAACGGCUCACCAAGGCUACGACGAUUAGCUGGUCUGAGAGGAUGGUCAGCCACAUUGGAACUGAGACACUGUCCAGACUCCUACGGG